RNAcentral lists this transfer RNA (90 nucleotides) under Staphylococcus aureus. RNAcentral's name for it is "tRNA-Leu". It matches the Rfam family "tRNA". Rfam says of the family: Transfer RNA (tRNA) molecules are approximately 80 nucleotides in length. Lineage: Bacteria; Bacillati; Bacillota; Bacilli; Caryophanales; Staphylococcaceae. The record is from RNAcentral.
GCCGGGGUGGCGGAACUGGCAGACGCACAGGACUUAAAAUCCUGCGGUGAGUGGAUCACCGUACCGGUUCGAUUCCGGUCCUCGGCACCA